UGCCAGCCGCCGCGGUAAUACGGAGGGUGCGAGCGUUAAUCGGAAUCACUGGGCGUAAAGCGUACGUAGGUGGCAAGUUGGUGGUGAAAGCCCUCGGCUCAACCGAGGAAUUGCCCCCAAUACUGCCUGGCUUGAGUCCCGGAGAGGGUGGCGGAAUUCCCAGUGUAGCGGUGAAAUGCGUAGAUAUUGGGAGGAACACCAGUGGCGAAGGCGGCCACCUGGACGGGUACUGACGCUGAGGUGCGAAAGCGUGGGGAGCAAACAGGAUUAGAUA
This 274-nucleotide ribosomal RNA is filed under the name uncultured bacterium. RNAcentral describes it as "partial 16S ribosomal RNA". It matches the Rfam family "Bacterial small subunit ribosomal RNA", at positions 506 to 784 of the family's 1533-position model. The record is from RNAcentral.